UACGGGGGGGGCAAGCGUUGUUCGGAAUUACUGGGCGUAAAGGGCUCGUAGGCGGCCAACUAAGUCGGAUGUGAAAUCCCCAAGCUUAACUUGGGAACUGCAUCCGAUACUGGAUGGCUUGAAUCCGGGAGAGGGAUGCAGAAUUCCAGGUGUAGCGGUGAAAUGCGUAGAUAUCUGGAGGAAUACCGGUGGCGAAGGCGGCAUCCUGGACCGGCAUUGACGCUCAUGCACGAAAGCGUGGGGAGCAAACAGG
Molecule: ribosomal RNA, 253 nt
Filed under: uncultured bacterium
Lineage: Bacteria
Description: partial 16S ribosomal RNA
Rfam family: Bacterial small subunit ribosomal RNA
Source: RNAcentral